UAGGAGCGUCCACCGCAUGGUGGGUGUUGGAAAGAUUUAUCGGUUUUGGAUGGACUCGCGGCCUAUCAGCUUGUUGGUGAGGUAAUGGCUCACCAAGGCGACGACGGGUAGCCGGCCUGAGAGGGUGACCGGCCACACUGGGACUGAGACACGGCCCAGACUCCUACGGGAGGCAGCAGUGGGGAAUAUUGCACAAUGGGCGAAAGCCUGAUGCAGCGACGCCGCGUGAGGGAUGACGGCCUUCGGGUUGUAAACCUCUUUCAGUAGGGAAGAAGCGAAAGUGACGGUACCUGCAGAAGAAGCACCGGCUAACUACGUGCCAGCAGCCGCGGUAAUACGUAGGGUGCGAGCGUUAUCCGGAAUUAUUGGGCGUAAAGAGCUCGUAGGCGGUUUGUCGCGUCUGUCGUGAAAGUCCGGGGCUUAACCCCGGAUCUGCGGUGGGUACGGGCAGACUAGAGUGCAGUAGGGGAGACUGGAAUUCCUGGUGUAGCGGUGGAAUGCGCAGAUAUCAGGAGGAACACCGAUGGCGAAGGCAGGUCUCUGGGCUGUAACUGACGCUGAGGAGCGAAAGCAUGGGGAGCGAACAGGAUUAGAUACCCUGGUAGUCCAUGCCGUAAACGUUGGGCACUAGGUGUGGGGACCAUUCCACGGUUUCCGCGCCGCAGCUAACGCAUUAAGUGCCCCGCCUGGGGAGUACGGCCGCAAGSUAAAACUCAAAGGAAUUGACGGGGGCCCGCACAAGCGGCGGACAUGCGGAUUAAUUCGAUGCAACGCGAAGAACCUUACCAAGGCUUGACAUGUUCUCGAUCGCCGUAGAGAUACGGUUUCCCCUUUGGGGCGGGUUCACAGGUGGUGCAUGGUUGUCGUCAGCUCGUGUCGUGAGAUGUUGGGUUAAGUCCCGCAACGAGCGCAACCCUCGUUCCAUGUUGCCAGCACGUAAUGGUGGGGACUCAUGGAAGA
RNAcentral lists this ribosomal RNA (960 nucleotides) under Micrococcus luteus. RNAcentral describes it as "bacterial SSU rRNA". Lineage: Bacteria; Bacillati; Actinomycetota; Actinomycetes; Micrococcales; Micrococcaceae. The record is from RNAcentral.